GUUCUGCCCUUGGAAAUCACACAGCCUAAGUCGAAUACUCCUUUGCCUGGCUAUUCUUGAAGCAUGUGAAGACGGACUGCAUCCUACCAUAGCCAAAAUCUUCCUUGAACUAAAUAUUCUUCUUCUUCUCACCAUUUCUCCCACGGACCAGUUUUCAGAACUUUCACCAUUCUCUUGGGUUUCUUCUGGCCCAACUCCUGUUUCUCGACUCCUCUGAGAUGUUGACUCAGGGUUAACGUAGUGCCAGUGAGAUGAAUUAAAUCAGAACUAAAGGGAGUUCUUCACUGGAUGUCACUGCUUAGUUUGGUGGGGCGAAUUCACGACUCCCAUCUCCCCAGUGAGUCCCGCACUAUGAGAAGGCGGGAGGAACAGGCAAUGAUCAGAUGUCACCUUUGUUGCUGGCUGAAACUUCCUGGGGGAAGCAGCAUUGCUGUAGUGACAAAGGCGCAGCUGGUCAAGGCAGGGUUGGAGAGUCUCUGGUGGUGCUCACGGUAGCUCAGCAUGGUCACCUUGCAGACCAUGAGGCAGAGAGGAGAGCCUCCGAGGGACACUCUGGCCUCCUGGGUUUCCUCUCUACUUCCCAGCCCUCACUGUUGGCUUUGAGUUGUCCUUUUGGUUCUCUGCCGGAGAAAGAAAGACUUUUGCACAAGUCCGAGUGUUUGGUCCAGAUCUUUCUGUCAAACUCACCAAUCAGCUACUUUACUCCAUCUCCUCAGGGAGCAGAGAGGGAGGAGCCACAGCAGCUAAAAGCGUCACACUGAUAAUGUCCCCCCAUACAGCAGGAAACAUAAGUGGGGAAGAAGUGUUCCUUCCUCGAUUUGGGCUCAGAAAAUCAACUCUGGGUGGAGGACCCUAUGUCUAAACUGCAGCUUGUGUGAGAACGGCCAGGGAAGCAUGACUGCAAACACACAUGGAGUCAGGCCUGGACUGCUGGCCCACAGCCACCCCUCCCACACACCUCAAGCUUCCGUCUUAAGUUAUACGAUAUCUAGGUGAAGCCAGAGACCACUCACCAGGGCUGGGCUCUAGAGCAAUCUGCUCCAUCUCUUUGAAGUUGAUUUCUCUCAUCAUAUGAUGGGAAUCAUGGCUGCUACCUCUUCUAAGGGUUAAGUAAGAUUGUUGUGUCACCGACUGAACAUAGUGAAUGAUUCAUGCAACAAUAAAGUCUUUAAUCCUUUUCUUAUCUCUUCCUGUCCAGCCAUCCCCUUGACAAAGAGACCAAAGGGCAACCGGAGGAGUUCAGCAAUUCCACCUUUUAUGUAUUCUAGAUGAGGCCUCUUGGGCCUUAGGAGGCGGCCCACUCCUGUGUUCUUUUGCAUUCUGGCCAUUUUUGGUUGGCACACCCUCUUUUUGCAGCUGACUUUCCCCCUCAGGCCCAAGUAUUAUUUAGGUUUUCACUUACAGAUGCUUUUCCUGCUUGUGGACAGGGCUUCUCCAGCGUCUGGUCCCUUGGCUGUGUGCUGUGUCGACACUUGGUUCUUUCCCUUUUAAUCCGGACCUCAUCUGAGAGCAUCCCUCUGUGACCACUCCAGCCUCCCAUGUUUCCUCCUCUGAAUCUUCUCAGCCCUGAUCCCUUACUCUGAGUUGACUUUUUGGUUCCAAGGGAGGCACUGGAUUGCACAAACCUUUGAUCUAGGCAAAAUGGUCACCUGUUUCUUUUCCUCUGGGAUCCCAGCUCCCCAUGACAGGACAUUCCCUCUCAGGCUGGGCUGGAGGGUGCUGGAGAGGAGCAGGGU
RNAcentral lists this long non-coding RNA (1736 nucleotides) under Marmota monax (woodchuck). The record is from RNAcentral. Lineage: Eukaryota; Metazoa; Chordata; Mammalia; Rodentia; Sciuridae.